Molecule: ribosomal RNA, 252 nt
Filed under: uncultured bacterium
Lineage: Bacteria
Description: partial 16S ribosomal RNA
Rfam family: Bacterial small subunit ribosomal RNA
Source: RNAcentral
UACGUAGGUGGCAAGCGUUAUCCGGAUUUAUUGGGUUUAAAGGGUGCGUAGGCGGGCUGUUAAGUCAGCGGUAAAAGCCCGGGGCUCAACCCCGGCGAGCCGUUGAAACUGGCUGUCUUGAGAUGUCGAGAGGUAUGCGGAAUGCGCAGUGUAGCGGUGAAAUGCUUAGAUAUUGCGCAGAACUCCGAUUGCGAAGGCAGCAUACCGGCGGCGAUCUGACGCUGAGGCACGAAAGCGUGGGUAUCGAACAGG